RNAcentral lists this unclassified non-coding RNA (200 nucleotides) under uncultured Russulaceae. RNAcentral's name for it is "sequence contains ITS1". The record is from RNAcentral. Lineage: Eukaryota; Fungi; Basidiomycota; Agaricomycetes; Russulales; Russulaceae.
UCGUAACAAAAUGUGCUAGGGCAUGCUCCGGCUGUCGCAGACUUGAAAUGGUCGUGCACGCGGGCGCGUGUCCUCUCACAUAACACAAUCCAUCUCACCCCUUUGUGCACCACCGCGUGGGCCCCCUUCGGGGGGCUCGCGUUUUCACACAAAACCCCCCUUUUAAAAGUGUAGAAUGACCUCUUUUUAUGAAAUCAAUA